CAAUAGCGUAUAUUAAAGUUGUUGCGGUUAAAAGCUCGUAGUUGGAUUUCUGCCGAGGACGACCGGUCCGCCCUCUGGGUGAGCAUCUGGAUCGGCCUGGGCAUCCUCUUGGGGAACGUAGCUGCACUUGACUGUGUGGUGCGGUAUCCAGGACUUUUACUUUGAGGAAAUUAGAGUGUUUCAAGCAGGCUUCCGCCUUGAAUACAUUAGCAUGGAAUAAUAAGAUAGGACCUCGGUUCUAUUUUGUUGGUUUCUAGAAUCAGGAUAAUGAUUAAUAGGGAUAAUUGGGGCAUUUGGUAUUAACGCGUCAGAGGUGGAAUUCUUGGAUUGCGUUACGACAAACUACUGCGAAAGCAUUUGCCAAGGAUGUUUUCAUUGAUCAAGAACGAAAGUAUGGGGAUCGAAGAUGAUUAGAU
RNAcentral lists this ribosomal RNA (416 nucleotides) under uncultured eukaryote. RNAcentral describes it as "SSU rRNA". It matches the Rfam family "Eukaryotic small subunit ribosomal RNA", at positions 592 to 1013 of the family's 1831-position model. The record is from RNAcentral.